Drosophila virilis is the source of this 1076-nucleotide non-coding RNA. NCBI's taxonomy places the organism in Eukaryota, Metazoa, Arthropoda, Insecta, Diptera, Drosophilidae. The record is from RefSeq and is a predicted model, not a curated record.
AAUUAUUAGCCUUUUAAACUCUGAACCCUUUAUAAACGGGUAAUGGGUAUUUGUGCAAAUGUAUGUAACAGGCGAAAGGAAGCAUAUUUGACCCCACAAAGUAUUAAUUCUUAAUUCUAUUAAUCAGCAUCAAUAGCCAUGUCAGUCUGGCUGUCCAUAGUUCCGUGUGUAUGACCGCAAGCAUUUCAGAACCUCUAAGGGCAAGAGUAGUUUGGAACGUUGGGCCUACUUAUGCCCGAGCAUUACUUAUUUAUUUCCGAUAAUCGAUAAUUUGCCCGCUUCCAAGCAUUCGAUCAAAAUCGAUACCGAAAUAGUUUUUAAUAACAAGAGUCCCUAAACUUGACAAGAUCGGUUAUGAAACACCAAUUUUUUGAGAAAACUUUGAUAUAGGCUAUUGACUAGCUACAUGCUUGAGCCAGCUAGCAAAUUGCAAGAAAAUAUUUUCGGGAUCGAGGAAAGAGACAAUCCCAAAGCAAAUACGGUUGAGCUCCCACCAUUGGAAUGAUUUAAUCACAUUUUAUAGAUGCCAUUCUUGGAUAAAGGAAUAAGUUUACUCUAAACUUUAUGAAAAUAUUUUUAGUACUUAUAAAGGGAAAUAUUAUUUUUAAACUGAAUUGUUUUAUUUAUAUUUUGAAAAUGUUUGAGCCAAAACCUGUGUUUAUGAAUGUGGAAAACCAGGUUUAUGAACCAAACGGCAUGCUCGUAAGCCGACCCAACGACAAUUUUUGAGGAAAGCCGCUCUAGUAUACAUAUGAUACAUAUGUACACAAAUACAUAUGUAAAUCUGCUUUGAAAUGUGACUCUAAGGUGAAUGUCAAGGUUAAUUGAUUUCGGAUUAUUUUUAGAUAGGUGUUUUCAUGUGUAUAUAAUGUCAAUGUCACUUUCUUGAGUUUUUUCCACUGUAGCUUCUAAUAUUAAAUAAUUCAAAAUUGGUAUACGCUAAACGUAAUUCUUAAUCAUUAUUUUUAAAGGAAACCAUGAUUGUAUAGGGACAAAUUUAUUUAUUUAUAAUUGCUGGACAAAACCUAUGUAAGAAAAGAAGGAGACAAAAGUAAUAAAGAAAAAAAAAAUAGAAA